AUUGAACGCUGGCGGCAUGCCUUACACAUGCAAGUCGAACGGCAGCACGGGUGCUUGCACCUGGUGGCGAGUGGCGAACGGGUGAGUAAUACAUCGGAACAUGUCCUGUAGUGGGGGAUAGCCCGGCGAAAGCCGGAUUAAUACCGCAUACGAUCUACGGAUGACAGCGGGGGACCUUCGGGCCUCGCGCGAUAGGGUUGGCCGAUAGCUGAUUAGCUAGUUGGGGGGGUAAAGGCCUACCAAGGCGACGAUCAGUAGCUGGUCUGAGAGGACGACCAGCCACACUGGGACUGAGACACGGCCCAGACUCCUACGGGAGGCAGCAGUGGGGAAUUUUGGACAAUGGGCGAAAGCCUGAUCCAGCAAUGCCGCGUGUGUGAAGAAGGCCUUCGGGUUGUAAAGCACUUUUGUCCGGAAAGAAAUCCUUGGCUCUAAUACAGUCGGGGGAUGACGGUACCGGAAGAAUAAGCACCGGCUAACUACGUG
Molecule: ribosomal RNA, 486 nt
Filed under: uncultured bacterium
Lineage: Bacteria
Description: partial 16S ribosomal RNA
Rfam family: Bacterial small subunit ribosomal RNA
Source: RNAcentral